Molecule: long non-coding RNA, 1451 nt
Filed under: Marmota monax (woodchuck)
Lineage: Eukaryota; Metazoa; Chordata; Mammalia; Rodentia; Sciuridae
Source: RNAcentral
CCAAAUACAGUCACACUGGGGGUUGGGGCGAAGGGGUCACAAACAUCCAGUCCUUGGCAAAUGACAGGCCUGCUUUCCCUGAGGUCCCCUAGCCCUUCUUUUGCUUCCUCCUCUCAGCUACCUUGGCCCCCUGAUCCUCAUCUCAUGCCAAAUGAAGUCCAUGGUGCCACCCGCUGCUGUUGACAAAGGGCCCACCUCCUGUCGAGGGGAUGGGGAACCAGGCCAAGGCAGGUGAGGCAUGAAGUGUGUGAGUCACUCCCACAGAGCGCAGCCCCAAGGGAAGGACUGAGUGUGAAGGCCACACCUCUCAGUCCUCAGUGGGAGCGCCCCAUGCCACUCCACGGUGCUCUCUAGGAUUCCGAAGGGCUGCUCGGCACAGCAACCUCACAUGUGAGUGCCAUUCAGUCCACCCGUCCAUUGUUGUGUGCCCAACAAUCAGACGUUUCCCCUGGACCCGUCAUGCACUUCCUUUGUACUGAGCAAGUGUUGUUCAGUGGGCGGCCCUGAUUGUCCUGGAAACGGGCGCCUUGGGGGGAUGGGGGCCUUGAUUACUUUGGCCCGAUUCCUUUAUUAUGCUGGGAGCUCCUUCUUCCCGUGUGUGUAGAUGGGAAGUCUCAGAACCCAGCAGGUGGUGUGGGAGACCCUGGCCUCGACCAGCCUCAGGAUGCCCUAGCAAGGCUGGAACCUGGGGUCCUGGAAGAGGCCAAGGGGAGGGAAGAGCAGGGGCAGGGCUCCUGGGAAAGCCACAGCAGUGACGCCAUGGCCAUGGGGACCUUGCCGGCUGCCUGGUGCUCUGGAGGCGGGUGUAUUGAGUUCCAAAUGCAAUGCAGGGGCCUCUGGCCUUCCUCUGGUCGGUGCAGGCUCUGGCCCCUUCCUUCCUGUCCCCUGACUGGCCCUCCCUCCUGGCAGGCCCUUCCUCUCUCAGGGCAUGUCAGCCUUCAAUGGAAGAAUGGCCAUUGUUCCCUCCCUGAGGAAGGCAGGCCUUCCUCUCCUGGCCCCUCCAUAUCCUGUUACUGGUUUCCAGGCUCCUCUGCAGAGCAGGCAGCCUUUCCCCACCUGAGAGCCUGAAGCACUUCCUGCCUCACACUUCUUCCCACCCUCUUUGUCCUGGAGCCCGCUGGCCUCCCUCUCGGCCUCCCAUCUCCUGUCUGCCUGGCCACGGGACUCCCUUUGUGCCUCCGCCUGGCAUAGCCCUCACUUCUGACUUUCCUGGGCAGCUCGCCUCCUCCUCCCUCACCUUCAUGCUCACUACUCCCUGGGCAUUUUCCCUGGGACCUGGUGGGAGAAGAUACACAGGGAAUUCCCUCCCAGCACCCUUCAUCCUCCUAGGCGGGUGUCACCUGGGACUCAGACCACAGAGAACUGCCACUCCCCUGGGAGCAGGCAGCGGUCUCCCAAGACCUCCAGCAGAGGCUCCUAGCAUGGACCCCCAAGGCCACCUACUUGCUGCC